GGGAUAACCGUGGGAAAUCUAGAGCUAAUACAUGUAGUUAAUUGGCGUAUCUUCGGGUACGUCAAAGCAUUUAUUAGAUUAAACCAUCUACUACUCUGUAGUAAGACGAAUCUAGAUAACUUGUCUGAUCGUAUGGCCUCGUGCCGGCGACGUUUCAAUUGAGUUUCUGCCCUAUCAACUUGUUGGUAAGGUAUUGGCUUACCAAGGUUGCAACGGGUAACGGGGAAUCAGGGUUCGAUUCCGGAGAGGGAGCCUGAGAAACGGCUACCACAUCCAAGGAAGGCAACAGGCGCGCAAAUUACCCAAUCUAGACAGUAGGAGGUGGUGAAGAGAAUUACUAAGUGGUGGUUCAAUGAACUACCAACUUGGAAUGGACGUAACUUAAGCAAUUCGUUGAGAAACAACUGGAGGGCAAGUCCUGGUGCCAGCAGCCGCGGUAAUUCCAGCUCCAGUAGUUUGCUUUAAAGUUGUUGCGUUUAAAACGCUCGUAGUUGGAUCAUGCAACAGUGUACGGUAAUCUAUUCAUUAGACCAGAUAUUUCGAGGAGUCGUUGAAAGACGACACUUGUGAUCUGGACUGUGAUAGAUAUAAAAGCUGAACACUGUUAAUUGCGUGUGAGAUGGAUUGUUGACCUUUAGUGAGUCGGUAAUCCUGUCUCGCGGGAUGUGCCUUGAAUAAAACAGAGUGCUUAAAGCAGGUUGAUGCCUGAAUGUUAUAGCAUGGAACGAACAAUAGUGUAUACGUAUGCGAUUUUCAAUAGUGACAGGCCUAUGGCUUGCCACUGUUGGGGGCGCGUACAUCACCCACCAAAAUAUGGCUGUUGGUUCCAUAUACGGUGAUGAUUAAAAGGAGCGGUUGGGGGCAUCGGUAUUUGGCCGCGAGAGGUGAAAUUCUUGGACCGGCCAAGGACUAACAAAUGCAAAGGCACUUGUCUAGACCGUUUCCAUUAAUCAAGAACGAAAGUGGGAGGUUCGAAGACGAUCAGAUACCGUCCUAGUUCCCACUGUAAACUAUGCCGACCUGGGAUCAGUUUAGAGAUGCUACAAGCUCUAAAUUGGUCCCCCUGGGAAACCUCAAGUUUUUCGGUUACGGGGAGAGUAUGGUCGCAAGGCUGAAACUUAAAGGAAUUGACGGAAGGGCACCACCAGGGGUGGAGCCUGCGGCUUAAUUUGACUCAACACGGGGAAACUUACCUGGUCCGGACAUCGAUAGGAUACACAGACCAAUAGAUCUUUGUUGAUGCGAUGAGUGGUGGUGCAUGGCCGUUCUUAGUUCGUGGAGUGAUCUGUCGGCUUUACUGCGGUAACGAACGAGACCACAGUCUCCAUUUAAGAAACAGAAAAAGACAACCUAUUGUUGGGACUAGUCUCACCCAGUAGGUUGUUGUUGGUUAGAGUUGUGGCUAUAUAGCAACGUUGUGGAAGAGCAAUCUUAAAUAGCGAAGCUGUAUGGCUGUGCCUUUUCCUUUCUGUCAAGUAGUAACUGGUUUACACUAGUUGCUGCCUUAUGGAGAGACAACGAGGUAUAAUCAAGCUCGAGAAG
Molecule: ribosomal RNA, 1542 nt
Filed under: Myxobolus turpisrotundus
Lineage: Eukaryota; Metazoa; Cnidaria; Myxozoa; Bivalvulida; Myxobolidae
Description: SSU rRNA
Rfam family: Eukaryotic small subunit ribosomal RNA
Source: RNAcentral